RNAcentral lists this ribosomal RNA (222 nucleotides) under Cronobacter sakazakii. Its description in RNAcentral is "partial 23S ribosomal RNA". It matches the Rfam family "Bacterial large subunit ribosomal RNA", at positions 1124 to 1345 of the family's 2925-position model. Lineage: Bacteria; Pseudomonadati; Pseudomonadota; Gammaproteobacteria; Enterobacterales; Enterobacteriaceae. The record is from RNAcentral.
UAAAGAAAGCGUAAUAGCUCACUGGUCGAGUCGGCCUGCGCGGAAGAUGUAACGGGGCUAAACCAUGCACCGAAGCUGCGGCAGCGACACUCUGUGUUGUUGGGUAGGGGAGCGUUCUGUAAGCCUGCGAAGGUGUGCUGUGAGGCAUGCUGGAGGUAUCAGAAGUGCGAAUGCUGACAUAAGUAACGAUAAAGCGGGUGAAAAGCCCGCUCGCCGGAAGAC